Molecule: ribosomal RNA, 238 nt
Filed under: uncultured bacterium
Lineage: Bacteria
Description: partial 16S ribosomal RNA
Rfam family: Bacterial small subunit ribosomal RNA
Source: RNAcentral
GAUCCUGGCUCAGGAUGAACGCUGGCAGCGUGCUUAACACAUGCAAGUCGAGCGAAGCACUUAGGAAAGAUUCUUCGGAUGAUUUCCUAUUUGACUGAGCGGCGGACGGGUGAAUAACGCGUGGGUAACCUGCCUCAUACAGGGGGAUAACAGUUAGAAAUGACUGCUAAUACCGCAUAAGACCACAGCACCGCAUGGUGCAGGGGUAAAAACUCCGGUGGUAUGAGAUGGACCCGCG